This 164-nucleotide ribosomal RNA is filed under the name uncultured bacterium. Its description in RNAcentral is "partial 16S rRNA". It matches the Rfam family "Bacterial small subunit ribosomal RNA", at positions 355 to 510 of the family's 1533-position model. The record is from RNAcentral.
UAGGGAAUCUUCGGCAAUGGGGGCAACCCUGACCGAGCAACGCCGCGUGAGUGAAGAAGGUUUUCGGAUCGUAAAGCUCUGUUGUAAGAGAAGAACGUGUGUGAGAGUGGAAAGUUCACACAGUGACGGUAACUUACCAGAAAGGGACGGCUAACUACGUGCUA